RNAcentral lists this transfer RNA (89 nucleotides) under Candidatus Zixiibacteriota bacterium. RNAcentral describes it as "tRNA-Ser". It matches the Rfam family "tRNA". From Rfam's summary of the family: Transfer RNA (tRNA) molecules are approximately 80 nucleotides in length. Their secondary structure includes four short double-helical elements and three loops (D, anti-codon, and T loops). Further hydrogen bonds mediate the characteristic L-shaped molecular structure. tRNAs have two regions of fundamental functional importance: the anti-codon, which is responsible for specific mRNA codon recognition, and the 3' end, to which the tRNAs corresponding amino acid is attached (by aminoacyl-tRNA synthetases). tRNAs cope with the degeneracy of the genetic code in two manners: having more than one tRNA (with a specific anti-codon) for a particular amino acid; and 'wobble' base-pairing, i.e. permitting non-standard base-pairing at the 3rd anti-codon position. RNAcentral also lists the same sequence under 1 other name. The record is from RNAcentral. Lineage: Bacteria; Pseudomonadati; Candidatus Zixiibacteriota.
GGAGAGAUGUCCGAGUUGGCCGAAGGAGCACGCCUGGAAAGUGUGUAGCCCUCACAAGGGGCUCCAGGGUUCGAAUCCCUGUCUCUCCG